Molecule: unclassified non-coding RNA, 307 nt
Filed under: Hevea brasiliensis (rubber tree)
Lineage: Eukaryota; Viridiplantae; Streptophyta; Magnoliopsida; Malpighiales; Euphorbiaceae
Source: RNAcentral
GAGAUAAUUGCACACUGUGAGGCACACAGCGGGACAAAGAAUGAUGGAUGGCAUCGAGGAGAACAUUACACGGGCCUCUGAUGGCGUCGAGGAGAGCAUGUGUUUACAUGGGUCUUUAAUGGUUCAAGGUGACUAGGUAAGCAUUGAUGGUGCGAACCGUACACUGGUGUGAUGCUCAUCGAUGGUUCUCUCUCUGAUGGUGCGACGCAAUGAUGCUUUGGAGUCUGAAAGUGAGACACAACUAGUGGGAGACAGAGGUGAUACACAUUUGUUGCAGCCAAUGGAUGGAAUCGUGGAGGUGGAGGUG